AAAGAAUGUGGGUUCAUGUUGCAACUCAGUUAUGCAUUAAUUAUGUGAUUUUAGGAAACUCAUUUAACUCCACUGGACCCCAGGUAGCUGUUUGUGAAAUUUUUGGAAAAAUUAAAAUGACACAUAAAAAUUAAAUGGCACAGCAUAGAUAGAGUUUUUAUCAGGUGAUAUACAUGGUACAUGAUUAAAAUUAUUUACUUUCUUUGCUUUAUUUUUUCCUUUCCCAUUGUCUAAUUAACUCUCAGUUCUAGGCUUGCACAACACCACACACUUUGAAGAACACAAAAAAACUAACACUGUAGGCAUGAGCCCACGAUCUGAGAUGAUAAGCAGAGGCAGCUGUGGCUCUGGAGGGCCAGCUUUCUACAUUCACAAGGAUGUACCAGAGCUAUGGAAGAAGAUCCAGAGAUUAGUAAUCCUGGUGAGAGGCUGAGUUUCAAAACAGUUUAUAUACUAGUGUUUUGAGCAGAUUUCAAUAAAAGUGGAUUCUGCUGCUACGGCGAUUCAUUACCAACAUCACAGGCCAAGCACGCGCUGUCCCUGGGCGGGGAGGGCCCCCCGGAAAUUAAGCAGCAGCCGGCGCGGCCGCCCCGCAGCAGGCUGGAGGCAGAGCGCGCAACGGUCCGGGGGCAGCCUCGUCCCCCGCCCCGGGGCGGAGUCUGGAGCAGCCGAGCGGAGCAGCGACUCCGCGGAAAGGACCGGCUCUCGCUGUCUCCUUUCUUGAGGAUGUGCCUCCUCCCGUCAGCCUGCUUCAGACAGGUUAAAGCAACAGCUUCAGAUUGGGGCACAGGGAAGCCUCAGGAAC
Molecule: long non-coding RNA, 805 nt
Filed under: Vulpes vulpes (red fox)
Lineage: Eukaryota; Metazoa; Chordata; Mammalia; Carnivora; Canidae
Description: lncRNA (ENSVVUG00000014366.1)
Source: RNAcentral